UUCGUUGCUGUUUAUUGUCGGUUUUCUCAUCUUGUACCCUCAUCAUGUUCAUGUGUCUCGUUACCUCUUGCCACGUUCCUUGAGCACUUCUGUGAUGCGGAAAAAAGAUAUUUAGCAUGGCGCCUUAAGACUAUGUCCAGGAAUUCAGCAAAAACACCAGCCAAGACGGCUACACUGGCUCAAGCACAAGGACAGCCACUUUGCCUGAGCAGCUUGAUGGAGAUGCCUGCAGGGAAGCCAUAUAAUUUCUCAUUCACUCUCAGGAUGAAGCAAGUGUGUUUCAGAAGAUGACCUUUCAAUAUCGCCAAGACCUAGUGCAUGACCCGCAGAUGUCUUUAAAACAUUUCCACGGUUUUUAGAUGUCAAAGGGCUGCUGAAACAGCCUCCAAGAUGCUUGAGAAGUGGGUCAAAACCUUCGGGCCCAAGGUUAUCAAUGAGGCCAAACACCUGACUCAGUCAAUUGAGCUGUGCCGACUUCUAAAAGCUGCUGAGAAACUGAUAGAAAACGAUGACACCACCUGGGACAGUGACAUGGCUUCUCUGCUGCUGCUCCUCCAUCUCCUGCCACUCACAACUGGACGGAAGAGGACCAAGACAAGCCCCAGUGAUGCAGUGGACAAAAUGUUGCACUUUCGCAAGUCAUGCUGCAGCUUGGAUGAACACCUUCCAAGAAGAGAUGGUAGACAACCAUAUAUCCUUGCUGUUGGUCGAACCAGGAACAGGAUUGACACUUUCUACAUUGUUGUGGACAAUUAGCUCAUCCCCUGCCAAGCCACUAGCUCAUUGGGUGCAUUUGAUGAACUGUGCAAACAACGGUAUACAAUAUCGAUGUGGGAACAACAAAUGAGUCUCCCAGAGUUUGUGAGUUCCGUGCUAAAGUCUUCAACUAAAGUACUUAAGUGUUUCAUUUGUCAAGCUGUGCAUGUUCCCUGCCAGUCCUUGAUCUCUCAUCUAAGACUUGAUCACAGUUUUUAUCCUAGCACCAGGUUUAACUUAGUUUGUGCACAAGAUCAUUGUAGGCGUCAGUUUUCAACAUAUUCAGGUUUCAAAAAACAUUGAAUUAGUUCUCAUGAGAAGGAUUCUUGUCAAAGUGGAGAUACAGCAAGGCCAGAGUCAUUUCAAACCAAUUUCCACAUGCUCCAAGAUACUUCAGAAGUUGCUGGAACAAGUGUCAUGCAGAACCCAGAGUCUGAGUGUUUUGAGGACAAUGAAUCAGGUCAAAGUUAUUUGACAAUGUUAUUCAUGCAACACCUAAAAACUUAUAAAUACACAAUAAAAAACAAAGCAGGCUACAAUGAAGUUCCAUGCAAAAGCUUUUAGUGCAAAAUUUCCACUAGUUAGAGAAAAACGUUUCACACAAGAAUAUUUUGAUAGAAAACUAAAAAACAAUACUUCAAGUAUUAGAAAAAUAGAUAAAACUACAAUAAAUUAGAGAAAAAAAUGUGCAUUCAGCCCACUAGUACUACUAAUACAAACUGUACAAUGGACUAGUGAACUGUCCUGUGGUGCAUAUAGUUGCUUUGUAAAACUUCAUCGUCAGAAUCAUGCUCUCUCCUCACCUCUGAGAUUUUAACAGUGGGGUGUUGAGUUUUUGAUACAAGGCGAAAUAAACAAACAGGUCAUUAUGAUCAAGUCCCAUUGAACGAUACAUUUGUUUACAUACCAAUUUUGGAAACAGUAAAAUUCAUGUGCCAAAAUGCUGAUAUUUGUAAACUGCUUGGGGAAACUUGUAUAUCAAGACCUGACAGAUACAAAGACUUUUGUGAUGGAAGUUAUUCUAAGACACAUCCAUUGUUCUCUAAAUACCAGAAUUCUUUACAAAUUCAGUUGUUCUUUAUGAUGACUUUGAGACACUAUAUGUCAGAUAACUGGGAACAACUUAGGGAUGCACGCAAUUCUGGGAUUUACAGAAUCUUUCAGUGGACGUUAUGUUUAUCGUUUGUUUGAUAGAAAAACAUGAUGCCCAGAAUGUUUACAAUGAGGAUGACCCCAAGAUAAUCUUGCGUGGAAAGGAACUUUUUGAAAUGCACUGCAAUGAAUUGCAGUCAGACCCACAGAAGUUAUCCAUGUUUUGUUUAAAAAAGAACUCGACUCUUAACAGCCUACAGUUCUUUCGUGUUUGUCAUAAUUUUUCUUUGGACAUUAUGCAUGAUAUUCUUGAAGGUGUGGCUCAGUAUGAGUUGAAGUUACUGUUGGAAUAUCUCUCAGAAAAUGUUUUGUCGAAACCUGAUGUGUUGUCUAGAAUUUAUGCCUUUGACUAUGGGUAUGUGGAGCAUAAAAAUCGACCUACAAGGAUUAACUUGGACAGUAGUGGCAAUAAUAUAGGGCUCAAUUCCAUUCACUCUUUGUCUUGUAAGAAACAUUCCUCUGCUUUUUGGUGACAUUGUGCCAGAAGGAAACCAAAACAGUUUUUUGCUGCUGCUUUUACUGCAGAUAAUCAACAUUAUAUUUUCUCCAUCUGUUACACUUGGCAUGACUUCUUAAGUAUUCGAUAAUGGAACAUCAUGAGUUGUUCAAAGAGCUGUAUCCCGAUAGAAGCCUGAUCCCGAAACAUCACUUUAUGAUACACUAUCCAUCUUGUAUCCGAAAAAUUGGACAACUAAUACAUAUGUGGAGCAUGAGAUUUGAGGCAAAACACAGGAUUUUCCAAAAUACUCUUAAAAACUUCAAAAACAUCACAAAAUCUCUUGCAAAAAAACAUCAAAUAUCUAUUACAUGUCAUUGGGAGACAUUACAUUCAAAAUGUAUUGAGUAUGGCCCAAUGAAAUCUAUUAAUGUGGACAAUGCGGACUAUGGCGACUGUUGGCUCGAGCAUGCAUGUUGAGUCUGUAUCACAAAACUAACUGGGUUACGAUCAGUGGGACAGAGUACAGGGCAGGACUAAUAAUUUGCAGUGAGAUUGAACAUGAAAUGCCUGUGUUUUGCAGAAUAGAAAAAAUAAUUGUUGUUGACCAUGUUAUCUGCUUCCUUGUAAACAAGCUUGUGGUUGACCAUGUCAAUGAACAUUUUCAUGCUUACAAAGUAUUUUAAAGUAAUGACACAGAUGUUGAUAAAGCAGAUAGUCUUGUGAUUUAUAAGCCCUUCGACUUACAAAGUGCUUAUGGUGGAGAUGAGAGCCAAUAUAUUGUGCCAUUAUACUUUGUAAAUGUUUAAGUUGUGCCUGAUCUUAUUAUUGUGCUUACUGCUAUGGUAUUUAUUUUUUGAAUUUAAAAAAACAAAAGAAUGUUUGAAUGAUUUUUAUUACUUGAUCACUGUUGCUGGUCAACACUUUUGAACUUAUGAUGUAACUGUAGAGAAAGUUAGUUGUGUAUUUUAACUUUCUGUAGCCAUGACUACAAUCAUUUUCAGAUUUGGUGACUUGUAUGUUAGGCUAGUAAACACAGAAUGCACUUUUAAUGUAUUGUAAAACAAAACAAUGAAUGUUGAUUAUUAAUUUUAGUGUUAAAAAUAGACUUUAAUGUGUCAUAAAAUAACACGAUGUAUGUUAAAAAAUUUGCAUAGUGAAAGGGAAUAACACAAUUUGGAGUUAAAAGUGCACUUAUGUGGUGUCAUAAAACAACACCAAGGGUGUCAAAUAUUUAACACUAUUAAAGAGUUAAAAUAUUAAUACUUUUCAAAGUG
Non-coding RNA from Paralichthys olivaceus (Japanese flounder), 3621 nucleotides. Lineage: Eukaryota; Metazoa; Chordata; Actinopteri; Pleuronectiformes; Paralichthyidae. The record is from RefSeq and is a predicted model, not a curated record.